UCUCGGGCUUGGUUAGUACUUGGAUGGGUGACCGCUUGGGAAUACCAAGUGUGAUAAGCA
This is a non-coding RNA of Ciona savignyi (Pacific transparent sea squirt), 60 nucleotides long. The record is from Rfam. NCBI's taxonomy places the organism in Eukaryota, Metazoa, Chordata, Ascidiacea, Phlebobranchia, Cionidae.